CAAAACGUAGCUUAACUAAAGCAUCUUGCUUACACCAAGAGUAUACCUGUUAAACCCAGGUCGUUCUGA
This 69-nucleotide transfer RNA is filed under the name Ololygon catharinae (Catharina snouted treefrog). Its description in RNAcentral is "tRNA-Val". The record is from RNAcentral. Lineage: Eukaryota; Metazoa; Chordata; Amphibia; Anura; Hylidae.